Apis mellifera (honey bee) is the source of this 363-nucleotide long non-coding RNA. RefSeq lists it as uncharacterized. The record is from RefSeq and is a predicted model, not a curated record. The transcript has 3 exons. NCBI's taxonomy places the organism in Eukaryota, Metazoa, Arthropoda, Insecta, Hymenoptera, Apidae.
GUGGAGACGAAUGUCUGCGUACGCGAAAACAAACCCAUCAGCUGCACGUACACGUUCGCCAAAACCACCAAAGACACAAACAACAAUCAGAACGAGCGGUACCAUGUCACAAUACGUGCUUAACCCAUCGGAUUAAUCGAUGGGGUAUUACUCCAUUUUACAAAGGAGUCCUUUAAGUUAAAUGCACUUUUAUCCAACGAUGGAUUAAGCAUUGCCCCGAAAAUGUGAAAGAUACAAGACAAUAUAAUACAAAGGCUCACCUGUUGGGCUCCAGGAGUCGCUUUGUUCCACAAAACCAUUAAGCCACGAUUGUAACCUAUCAGAAUAUUGUCUGGAUGACCUGGUUGUUCCGCUAUCGCCUCC